Molecule: ribosomal RNA, 584 nt
Filed under: uncultured bacterium
Lineage: Bacteria
Description: partial 16S ribosomal RNA
Rfam family: Bacterial small subunit ribosomal RNA
Source: RNAcentral
UGGGGAAUUUUGGACAAUGGGCGAAAGCCUGAUCCAGCAAUGCCGCGUGUGUGAAGAAGGCCUUCGGGUUGUAAAGCACUUUUGCCCGGAAAGAAAUCCUUGGCUCUAAUACAGUCGGGGGAUGACGGUACCGGAAGAAUAAGCACCGGCUAACUACGUGCCAGCAGCCGCGGUAAUACGUAGGGUGCAAGCGUUAAUCGGAAUUACUGGGCGUAAAGCGUGCGCAGGCGGUUUGCUAAGACCGAUGUGAAAUCCCCGGGCUCAACCUGGGAACUGCAUUGGUGACUGGCAGGCUAGAGUAUGGCAGAGGGGGGUAGAAUUCCACGUGUAGCAGUGAAAUGCGUAGAGAUGUGGAGGAAUACCGAUGGCGAAGGCAGCCCCCUGGGCCAAUACUGACGCUCAUGCACGAAAGCGUGGGGAGCAAACAGGAUUAGAUACCCUGGUAGUCCACGCCCUAAACGAUGUCAACUGUUGUUGGGGAUUCAUUUCCUUAGUAACGUAGCUAACGCGUGAAGUUGACCGCCUGGGGAGUACGGUCGCAAGAUUAAAACUCAAAUGAAUUGACGGGGUCAUAGCUGUUUCCU